GCGCGAUUAGCUCAGGGGGAGAGCACUACCUUGACACGGUAGGGGUCGUAAGUUCAAAUCUUACAUCGCGCACCA
RNAcentral lists this transfer RNA (75 nucleotides) under Coriobacteriales bacterium. RNAcentral describes it as "tRNA-Val". It matches the Rfam family "tRNA". From Rfam's summary of the family: Transfer RNA (tRNA) molecules are approximately 80 nucleotides in length. Lineage: Bacteria; Bacillati; Actinomycetota; Coriobacteriia; Coriobacteriales. The record is from RNAcentral.